UGAGGAUGUAGUUCAGCGGUAAAGAGCUUACCUAUUGUAUGAGGUCCUGGGUUCAAUCCUCAGCACCACAA
This 71-nucleotide transfer RNA is filed under the name Marmota monax (woodchuck). Its description in RNAcentral is "tRNA.Ile". Lineage: Eukaryota; Metazoa; Chordata; Mammalia; Rodentia; Sciuridae. The record is from RNAcentral.